CCUACGGGAGGCAGCAGUGAGGAAUAUUGGUCAAUGGACGAGAGUCUGAACCAGCCAAGUAGCGUGAAGGAUGACUGCCCUAUGGGUUGUAAACUUCUUUUAUAUGGGUAUAAAAUGUUCCACGUGUGGGAUUUUGUAUGUACCAUAUGAAUAAGGAUCGGCUAACUCCGUGCCAGCAGCCGCGGUAAUACGGAGGAUCCGAGCGUUAUCCGGAUUUAGUGGGUUUAAAGGGAGCGUAGGUGGAUUGUUAAGUCAGUUGUGAAAGUUUGCGGCUCAACCGUAAAAUUGCAGUUGAAACUGGCAGUCUUGAGUACAGUAGAGGUGGGCGGAAUUCGUGGUGUAGCGGUGAAAUGCUUAGAUAUCACGAAGAACUCCGAUUGCGAAGGCAGCUCACUGGACUGCAACUGACACUGAGGCUCGAAAGUGUGGGUAUCAAACAGGAUUAGAUACCCCAGUAGU
Molecule: ribosomal RNA, 459 nt
Filed under: uncultured bacterium
Lineage: Bacteria
Description: partial 16S ribosomal RNA
Rfam family: Bacterial small subunit ribosomal RNA
Source: RNAcentral